CGUAGCCGCGGUAAUACGUAGGUGGCAAGCGUUGUCCGGAAUUAUUGGGCGUAAAGGGCUCGCAGGCGGUUUCUUAAGUCUGGUGUGAAAGCCCCCGGCUCAACCGGGGAGGGUCAUUGGAAACUGGGAAACUUGAGUGCAGAAGAGGAGAGUGGAAUUCCACGUGUAGCGGUGAAAUGCGUAGAGAUGUGGAGGAACACCAGUGGCGAAGGCGACUCUCUGGUCUGCAACUGACGCUGAGGAGCGAAAGCGUGGGGAGCGAACAGGAUUAGAUACCCCCGUAGUCCCUGUCUCUUAUACA
This 301-nucleotide ribosomal RNA is filed under the name uncultured bacterium. RNAcentral's name for it is "partial 16S ribosomal RNA". It matches the Rfam family "Bacterial small subunit ribosomal RNA", at positions 510 to 808 of the family's 1533-position model. The record is from RNAcentral.